CACUUCUAAGGAAGGCAGCAGGCGCGCAAAUUACCCAAUCCUGACUCAGGGAGGUAGUGACAAGAAAUAACAAUAAACCGGCUUAUGCCGGUUUAAUUGGAAUGAGUACAAUUUAAACAUCUUAACGAGGAACAAUUGGAGGGCAAGUCUGGUGCCAGCAGCCGCGGUAAUUCCAGCUCCAAUAGCGUAUACUAAAGUUGUUGCAGUUAAAAAGCUCGUAGUUGGAUUUCUGUGGGGACGGAGCGGCCGGCCGCACAUCGCGGUUCGAGCUAGCGCUUUCCCUACAUCCUGCCGCGAACCGUGCUACCAUUAGUUUGGUGGCGCUGGGGAUCGGCUCGAUUACUUUGAGAAAAAUAGAGUGUUCAAAGCAGGCCACAUGCCUUGAAUAAGUUAGCAUGGAAUAAUAACUAAGGACUUCGGUUCUAUUUUGUUGGUGUUCGGGACUGAAGUAAUGAUUGAUAGGGACAGUUGGGGCGGUCUGUAUUCCAAAGCGAGAGGUGAAAUUCUUAGACCUUCGGAAGACAAACAGCUGCGAAAGCGUUCCGCAAGGAUGUUCCCUUUGAUCAAGAACGAAAGUUGGGGGAUCGAAGACGAUCAGAUACCGUCGUAGUCUCAACUAUAAACUAUACCAGCUAGGGAUCGGCCAACGUUAUUUUAUACCGACUUGGUCGGCACCUUAUGAGAAAUCAAAGCAUCUGGGUUCCGGGGGGAGUAUGGUCGCAAGGCUGAAACUUAAAGGAAUUGACGGAAGGGCACCACCAGCCGUGGAGCCUGUGGCUUAAUUUGACUCAACACGGGAAAACUUACCAGGUCCAGACAUAGUAAGGAUUGACAGAUUGAUAGCUCUUUCUUGAUUCUGUGGGUGGUGGUGCAUGGCCGUUCUUAGUUGGUGGAGUGAUUUGUCUGGUUAAUUCCGUUAACGAACGAGACCCCAGCCUGCUAAAUAGCGCGCGUGAGCUUUGCUCGCGGCGAGCUUCUUAGAGGGACUAUGAUGCGCGAUAGCACAUGGAAGUUUGGGGCAAUAACAGGUCUGUGAUGCCCUUAGAUGUUCUGGGCCGCACACGGGCUACACUGGCGCCUGCAACGAGCAUAUCAGCUGGCCCGAGAGGGUCUUGGCUAAUCUUUUGAACCGGCGCCGUGCUUGGGAUUGACCUUUGCAAUUGUUGGUCAUGCAACGAGGAAUGCCUUGUAAACGCGAGUCAUCAGCUCGCAUUGAAUACGUCCCUGCCCUUUGUACACACCGCCCGUCGCUCCUACCGAUGAAUGUUCCGAUGAAAUUUUCGGAGAGCACCUGUGAACUUGGCUCUGCCUUGCGAACGGGAGGCUCAAAGUCACUUAAAUCUGAACAUUUCGAGG
Molecule: ribosomal RNA, 1356 nt
Filed under: uncultured marine eukaryote
Lineage: Eukaryota
Description: SSU rRNA
Rfam family: Eukaryotic small subunit ribosomal RNA
Source: RNAcentral